UACAGAGGUCUCGAGCGUUAGGCGGAAUCACUGGGCUUAAAGCGUGUGUAGGUGGAUCGGUAAGUACCUUGUGAAAUCCCACGGCUUAACCGUGGAACUGCUUGGUAUACUGCCAGUCUUGAGCCAGCUAGGGGCGACUGGAACAAACGGUGGAGCGGUGAAAUGCGUAGAUAUCGUUUGGAACGCCAAUGGUGAAAACAGGUCGCUGGGGAUGCGCUGACGCUGAGACACGAAAGCCAGGGGAGCAAACGGG
This 253-nucleotide ribosomal RNA is filed under the name uncultured bacterium. RNAcentral describes it as "partial 16S ribosomal RNA". It matches the Rfam family "Bacterial small subunit ribosomal RNA", at positions 524 to 776 of the family's 1533-position model. The record is from RNAcentral.